CCCUUAGAUGUCCUGGGCCGCACGCGCGUUACACCGAUGCAUUCAACGAGCUUAUAACCUUGGCCGAGAGGCCUGGGCAAUCUUGUUAACGUGCAUCGUGAUAGGGAUAGAUUACUGAAAUUAUUAAUCUUGAACGAGGAAUUCCUAGUAAACGCAGAUCAUCAAUCUGCAUUGAUUACGUCCCUGCCCUUUGUACACACCGCCCGUCGCACCUACCGAUUGGAUGGUCCGGUGAAGCCUCGGGAUUGUGGUUCUUGCCGCUUUAUUGUGGCGUGACCGCGAGAACUUGUCUAAACCUUAUCAUCUAGAGGAAGGUGAAGUCGUAACA
RNAcentral lists this ribosomal RNA (328 nucleotides) under uncultured eukaryote. RNAcentral's name for it is "partial 18S ribosomal RNA". It matches the Rfam family "Eukaryotic small subunit ribosomal RNA", at positions 1470 to 1796 of the family's 1831-position model. The record is from RNAcentral.